GACGAACGCUGGCGGCGUGCUUAACACAUGCAAGUCGAACGGAAAGGCCCUGCUUUUGUGGGGUGCUCAAGUGGCGAACGGGUGAGUAACACGUGAGUAACCUGCCCUUGACUUUGGGAUAACUUCAGGAAACUGGGGCUAAUACCGGAUAGGAGCUCCUGCUGCAUGGUGGGGGUUGGAAAGUUUCGGCGGUUGGGGAUGGACUCGCGGCUUAUCAGCUUGUUGGUGGGGUAGUGGCUUACCAAGGCUUUGACGGGUAGCCGGCCUGAGAGGGUGACCGGCCACAUUGGGACUGAGGUACGGCCCAGACUCCUACGGGAGGCAGCAGUGGGGAAUAUUGCACGAUGGGCGGAGGCCUAGUGAAGCAACGCCGCGGGCGGGAUGACGGCCUUCGGGUUGUAAACCGCUUUCGCCUGUGACGAAGCGUGAGUGACGGUAAUGGGUACAGAAGCACCGGCUAACUACGUG
This 468-nucleotide ribosomal RNA is filed under the name uncultured bacterium. RNAcentral describes it as "partial 16S ribosomal RNA". It matches the Rfam family "Bacterial small subunit ribosomal RNA", at positions 28 to 507 of the family's 1533-position model. The record is from RNAcentral.